This is a small nucleolar RNA of Grammomys surdaster, 127 nucleotides long. RefSeq annotates it as small nucleolar RNA SNORA17. NCBI's taxonomy places the organism in Eukaryota, Metazoa, Chordata, Mammalia, Rodentia, Muridae. The record is from RefSeq and is a predicted model, not a curated record. The transcript has a single exon.
GUUGUCCCUAGAGGGAUUGCAGGGAUGACUUCUGUGUCACAUGUAUGUCAUUAGGUGGCAGAGAGGAGGGUGGGAGAGCUUGCCCUGAGAUCCUAAUAGCAGGACAGCCGGUCCUGCCCCUCACCUG